RNAcentral lists this transfer RNA (85 nucleotides) under Minisyncoccota bacterium. RNAcentral describes it as "tRNA-Leu". It matches the Rfam family "tRNA". Rfam says of the family: Transfer RNA (tRNA) molecules are approximately 80 nucleotides in length. Their secondary structure includes four short double-helical elements and three loops (D, anti-codon, and T loops). Further hydrogen bonds mediate the characteristic L-shaped molecular structure. tRNAs have two regions of fundamental functional importance: the anti-codon, which is responsible for specific mRNA codon recognition, and the 3' end, to which the tRNAs corresponding amino acid is attached (by aminoacyl-tRNA synthetases). tRNAs cope with the degeneracy of the genetic code in two manners: having more than one tRNA (with a specific anti-codon) for a particular amino acid; and 'wobble' base-pairing, i.e. permitting non-standard base-pairing at the 3rd anti-codon position. Lineage: Bacteria; Bacillati; Minisyncoccota. The record is from RNAcentral.
GCCCGAGUGGUGUAAUGGUAGCCACGAGAGACUUAAAAUUUCUUGGCCUUUAACGGCCGUGUGGGUUCGAGUCCCACCUCGGGCA